GGAAAUGAAGCCAAAGUGUGGCAAUGCGUGCACAACGGGUGGUUCUCCCAUAACUGUGGACACCACGAGGAUGCCAGUGUUAUCUGCUCAGGUAUUGGUGGCAAACCAAAUGCAGAACCAACAGACUCCACUGGCGACAACCCCCCUACAGAUGAAAAUUUCCACUGUGGCGGUUUGCUUGCAAAUAAUUCAGGCUCCUUCUCCAGUCCUUGGUAUCCUAAAAAUUACCCCACAAAUGUGGUAUGUGCUUGGGACAUACAAGUGGAUAUCGGGGCUCAUGUGAAACUCACAUUUGAAGUGGUAAAAAUGGAAAAUUUCUAUGGCUGUCCAUACGACUUCAUUGAAAUCUUUGAUGGCCCACAAAGCGAAUCUUUUUUGCUAGGGAGAUUCUGUUCCAGGAAGAUCCCGAUAUUUACCUCCUCCUACAACCGCAUGUCGGUGGUGUUCCACAGCGAUGCUAUCAUCACCAACAUUGGCUUCUAUGCAUCUUAUGAGUCUCUUGUGCAAGAUGAGAAUGAUACCGGUAGGUCCUGCAAUCAUGUUGUU
Molecule: long non-coding RNA, 546 nt
Filed under: Macaca mulatta (Rhesus monkey)
Lineage: Eukaryota; Metazoa; Chordata; Mammalia; Primates; Cercopithecidae
Description: lncRNA (ENSMMUG00000053058.1)
Source: RNAcentral